UACGUAGGGGGCAAGCGUUGUCCGGAAUCAUUGGGCGUAAAGCGCGUGUAGGCGGCCAGAAAAGUCCGCUGUGAAAACUCGAGGCUCAACUUCGAGCUGUCGGUGGAAACUUUCUGGCUAGAGUCCGGAAGAGGAGAAUGGAAUUCCUGGUGUAGCGGUGAAAUGCGCAGAUAUCAGGAGGAACACCGAUGGCGAAGGCAGGUCUCUGGGCAUUAACUGACGCUGAGGAGCGAAAGCAUGGGGAGCGAACAGG
This 253-nucleotide ribosomal RNA is filed under the name uncultured bacterium. Its description in RNAcentral is "partial 16S ribosomal RNA". It matches the Rfam family "Bacterial small subunit ribosomal RNA", at positions 524 to 776 of the family's 1533-position model. The record is from RNAcentral.